GUAACACGUGGACAAUCUGCCCCCCGGCCCGGGAUAGCCCAGGGAAACCUGGAUUAAUACCGGAUGAGACGGGACCCGCGAUGGCGGGAUCCGGGAAAGGCGCUGCGGCGCCGCCGGGGAUGAGUCUGCGUCCCAUUAGCUAGACGGCGGGGUAACGGCCCACCGUGGCGACGAUGGGUAGCCGGCCUGAGAGGGUGGACGGCCACAUUGGAACUGAGACACGGUCCAGACUCCUACGGGAGGCAGCAGCUAAGAAUCUUCCGCAAUGGGCGAAAGCCUGACGGAGCGACGCCGCGUGAACGAAGAAGGCCGUGAGGUUAGUAAAGUUCGUUUCGGGAGGGGGAACAACCGUGGCAGGGAAUGGCCGCGGGAUGACGUGAAUCCCGGAAUAAGCCCCGGCUAACUACGUGCCAGCAGCUGC
RNAcentral lists this ribosomal RNA (421 nucleotides) under uncultured bacterium. RNAcentral's name for it is "bacterial SSU rRNA". It matches the Rfam family "Bacterial small subunit ribosomal RNA", at positions 110 to 518 of the family's 1533-position model. The record is from RNAcentral.